AUGAAAGAUAUGCAUAGCAUUGCUAGAUUUUCUUCUGAGAUAAUUCCUGAAUCUAGUACAACUGAUGAAUAUUUCGAACAAUCACAUGAGGAAGUCCUUGAGAAGGAUAACAAUGAAGUUCCUAGAAGGAACAAGAGACAAAGGAUUGCAAAAUCCUUUGGUGAUGAUUUCAUUGUAUACCUUCUGGACGACACACCCAAGACGAUUGCAGAAGCAUAUGCAUCUCCGGAUGUAGAUGAUUGGAAAGAAGCUGUUCAUAAUGAGAUGGACUCAAUUCUUUCUAAUGGAACUUGGGAACUAACUGAUAGACCAUAUGGUUGUAAACCUGUGGGCUGUAAGUGGGUGUUCAAAAAGAAGCUAAAGCCUGAUGGUACUAUUGAUAAGUACAAGGCGCGGCUAGUGGCCAAGGGCUACACUCAGAAAGAAGGCGAAGAUUACUUUGACACCUAUUCACCCGUUGCUAGAAUGACCACCAUUCGAGUGUUACUUUCCUUGGCUGCCUCUUAUGGUCUUAUCAUUCAUCAAAUGGAUGUAAAGACAGCUUUUCUCAAUGGAGAGUUGGAAGAGGAGAUCUAUAUGGAUCAGCCUGACGGGUUUGUGGUAAAGGGUGAAGAAAGAAAGGUUUGCAAGUUGUUAAAAUCUUUGUAUGGUCUGAAACAGGCACCUAAGCAAUGGCAUGAGAAGUUUGAAAGAACUUUGACUUCUGCAGGAUUUGUCAUUAACGAGGCUGAUAGGUGUGUUUACUAUCGCCAUGGUGGGGGCAAUAGUGUCAUAUUAUGUUUGUAUGUGGACGACAUACUGAUCUUUGGUACAAACAUUAAUGCAAUUAAUGAGGUCAAGUCUUUUCUAUCAAAAAGUUUUGACAUGAAAGAUCUGGGAGAAGCCGAUGUAAUUCUAAACAUCAAACUUAUUAAGGAUGAGAGUGGGAUUACAUUAACUCAAUCUCACUAUGUUGAGAAGGUCUUGAAUCGAUUCGGUUUUAUGGAUAGCAAGCCUUCUCCAACACCUUAUGAUCCCAGCGUGACACUCAGAAAGAACAAGAAAGAAACGAGAGAUCAAUUAAGAUACUCUCAAAUUGUCGGUUCACUCAUGUACUUAGCUAGCACUACAAGACCAGAUAUCUCUUUUGUUGUGAGCAAACUGAGUAGGUUCAUGUCCAACCCGGGUGAUGAUCAUUGGCAUGCACUAGAAAGGGUCUUGCGCUAUCUGAGAGGUACUAUGAGUUACGGAAUUACUUAUUCAGGGCAUCCUGCUAUGCUAGAAGGAUAUAGUGAUUCAAAUUGGAUCUCCGAUGUUGAUGUACUUUACGCAACAAGUGGGUAUGUAUUUACUCAUGGUGGUGGCGCAGUGUCAUGGAGGUCUUGCAAGCAAACCAUAUUGACGAGGUCAACUAUGGAAGCAGAAUUAACUGCUUUGGACACAGCUACUAUUGAGGCAGAAUGGCUGCGUGAGCUCUUGAUGGACUUGCCGGUUGUUGAAAAACCUGUAACGGAUAUUCUUAUGAAUUGUGAUAACCAAACGGUUAUCGCUAAAGUGAACAAUUCUAAAGAUAAUGCAAAGUCAUCAAGACACGUGAAAAGACGUUUGAAGUCUGUCAGGAAGUUGAGAAACUCCGGAGUAAUAACUGUUACGUAUAUACAAACAGACAAAAACCUGGCAGAUCCCUUUACAAAGGGACUAUCA
This 1683-nucleotide ribosomal RNA is filed under the name Triticum aestivum (bread wheat). Its description in RNAcentral is "partial small subunit ribosomal RNA". The record is from RNAcentral. Lineage: Eukaryota; Viridiplantae; Streptophyta; Magnoliopsida; Poales; Poaceae.